This 236-nucleotide long non-coding RNA is filed under the name Helianthus annuus (common sunflower). RNAcentral's name for it is "Archaeal large subunit ribosomal RNA". The stretch from base 4 to 175 matches the Rfam family "Bacterial large subunit ribosomal RNA", at positions 46 to 232 of the family's 2925-position model. The record is from RNAcentral. Lineage: Eukaryota; Viridiplantae; Streptophyta; Magnoliopsida; Asterales; Asteraceae.
GAGACGAGGAAGGGCGUCAUAAGCGACGAAAUGCUUCGGGGAUUUGAAAAUAAGCAUAGAUCUGGAGAUUCCCAAAUAGGUUAACCUUUCAAACUGCUACCGAAUCCAUGGGCAAGCAAGAGACAACCUGGCGAACUGAAACAUCUUAGUAGCUAGAGGAAAAGAAAGCAAAAGCGAGUUGCAAGGGUUAAGGGUUUGGCGGAGUGAUGACCGCGCAAUUUUGGCUUGAAGCCUUC